AUUGAACGCUGGCGGCAGGCUUAACACAUGCAAGUCGAGCGGGGUGAUGGUGCUUGCACUAUCACUUAGCGGCGGACGGGUGAGUAAUGCUUAGGAAUCUGCCUAUUAGUGGGGGACAACAUCUCGAAAGGGAUGCUAAUACCGCAUACGUCCUACGGGAGAAAGCAGGGGAUCACUGGUGACCUUGCGCUAAUAGAUGAGCCUAAGUCGGAUUAGCUAGUUGGUGGGGUAAAGGCCUACCAAGGCGACGAUCUGUAGCGGGUCUGAGAGGAUGAUCCGCCACACUGGGACUGAGACACGACCCAGACUCCUACGGGAGGCAGCAGUGGGGAAUAUUGGACAACGGGGGGAACCCUGAUCCAGCCAUGCCGCGUGUGUGAAGAAGGCCUUAUGGUUGUAAAGCACUUUAAGCGAGGAGGAGGCUCUUUUGGUUAAUACCCAAGAUGAGUGGACGUUACUCGCAGAAUAAGCACCGGCUAACUCUGUGCCAGCAGCCGCAGUAA
Molecule: ribosomal RNA, 503 nt
Filed under: uncultured bacterium
Lineage: Bacteria
Description: partial 16S ribosomal RNA
Rfam family: Bacterial small subunit ribosomal RNA
Source: RNAcentral